GGGUGCGAUCAAACUAGCACUAAUGCACCGGAUCCCAUCAGAACUCCGCAGUUAAGCGUGCUUCGGUGAGAGUAGUACUAGGAUGGGUAACCUCUUGGGAAGCCUUCGUGUUGCACCCU
Corchorus capsularis is the source of this 119-nucleotide ribosomal RNA. The record is from Rfam. NCBI's taxonomy places the organism in Eukaryota, Viridiplantae, Streptophyta, Magnoliopsida, Malvales, Malvaceae.